This 81-nucleotide unclassified non-coding RNA is filed under the name Epilithonimonas mollis. Its description in RNAcentral is "Chryseobacterium molle Flavo-1 RNA". The record is from RNAcentral. Lineage: Bacteria; Pseudomonadati; Bacteroidota; Flavobacteriia; Flavobacteriales; Weeksellaceae.
UGUUCGCAGCCCGACCUGAGUGGAGCUCUUUUUGCGGAGCGGAGCGGAACAAAAAAGCGGGAACGGAGGGCGGAAAAAGCU